GACGAGCCACACGAACGUUAUUCGGAAUUACUGGGCUUAAAGGGUGCGUAGGCGGCGCGGUAAGUAGGGUGUGAAAUCCCUCGGCUCAACCGAGGAACUGCGCUCUAAACUACCGUGCUUGAGGGAGGUAGAGGUGAGCGGAACUUAGGGUGGAGCGGUGAAAUGCGUUGAUAUCCUAAGGAACACCGGUGGCGAAAGCGGCUCACUGGAUCUCUUCUGACGCUGAGGCACGAAAGCUAGGGUAGCGAACGGG
This 253-nucleotide ribosomal RNA is filed under the name uncultured bacterium. RNAcentral describes it as "partial 16S ribosomal RNA". It matches the Rfam family "Bacterial small subunit ribosomal RNA", at positions 524 to 776 of the family's 1533-position model. The record is from RNAcentral.